RNAcentral lists this ribosomal RNA (483 nucleotides) under uncultured bacterium. RNAcentral's name for it is "partial 16S ribosomal RNA". It matches the Rfam family "Bacterial small subunit ribosomal RNA", at positions 30 to 507 of the family's 1533-position model. The record is from RNAcentral.
UUGAACGCUGGCGGAAUGCUUUACACCUGCCAGUCGAGCGGCAGCGCGGCCUUCGGGCUGGCGGCGAGCGGCGAACGGGUGAGUAAUGCAUCGGAACAUGCCCAGUCGUGGGGGAUAACACUUCGAAAGAAGUGCUAAUACCGCAUACGUCCUGAGGGGAAAAGCGGGGGAUCGCAAGACCUCGCGCGUUUGGAGUGGCCGAUGUCAGAUUAGCUAGUUGGUGGGGUAAAGGCCUACCAAGGCGACGAUCUGUAGCUGGUCUGAGAGGAUGAUCAGCCACACUGGGACUGAGACACGGCCCAGACUCCUACGGGAGGCAGCAGUGGGGAAUUUUGGACAAUGGGGGCAACCCUGAUCCAGCCAUUCCGCGUGAGUGAAGAAGGCCUUCGGGUUGUAAAGCUCUUUCGGCAGGAACGAAACGGUGGGCUCUAACAUAGUCCGCUAAUGACGGUACCUGAAGAAGAAGCACCGGCUAACUACGUG